RNAcentral lists this ribosomal RNA (394 nucleotides) under Ptilonyssus euroturdi. Its description in RNAcentral is "partial 16S ribosomal RNA". The stretch from base 270 to 394 matches the Rfam family "Bacterial large subunit ribosomal RNA", at positions 2473 to 2598 of the family's 2925-position model. The record is from RNAcentral. Lineage: Eukaryota; Metazoa; Arthropoda; Arachnida; Mesostigmata; Rhinonyssidae.
UGGUAAUUUGACCAUGCUAAGGUAUUGAAAUAAGACUUUAAUUGAGUGCUAAGAGAAUGAAUAAAUGAUAAAUAACUUUUUUUAAAAAAAAAUUAAAAAUUUAAUUAAAAAUUAAAAUGUUUUUAUAAAAAAAUGGGACAAGAAGACCCUAAAAUUCUUAUAUUAUUAAUAAUUAUUAAAAUUAUUAAUAAUUUUAUUGGGGCGAUAGAAAAAUAAUAGGUAACUUUAUUAAGAAUUUUUAAUGAAAAAAAUUGUAAAGAUACUUUAGGGAUAACAGCGUUAUUAUUUUGGAUAGUUCAUAUAGAUAAAAUAGUUUGCGACCUCGAUGUUGAAUUAAUGAGUCUUUUAGUUGGAGAAGAUUAAAAAGAGAGAUUGUUCAUCUUUUAAAUCAUUA